Molecule: long non-coding RNA, 1394 nt
Organism: Halichondria panicea
Lineage: Eukaryota; Metazoa; Porifera; Demospongiae; Suberitida; Halichondriidae
Exons: 3
Source: RefSeq, a predicted model, not a curated record
CAAUUACACCAUACUGUAGUUUAAAAUACCACGACAAAUGACAUCUCUGAGCCCAUGCCAACUCAGCUAGGUAUGGUUGCUCAAUAUUGACCUCCCUCCACCAAUAAGGUCUAACACAUGGGCAAGCAAUACUAUCGGGAAAUAUGAACAAAACAAUGAACCUCGUGAUUAUUAUCAGUAGCCUACAACAGGUCCCGUCUCUACAAAGCAUCUCCCCUCACCUCCAUCCUCUCAUGCAUUCAUCCAUUCUUAUCCUAUAGCACAGCCACUGGACUGGCACAUGCUGGCAGCAGAUCACAUUCACGCUGAGUAGGUAAUGGCAUAUGCUAGGCCUCAUCAUAGAUAGUGGUAUGGCCUCAUCAACCUCAUCUUCAGCGCGGCCUGAGAUGGAGGCUAAAAGAUCCCCUUCCUCCCACGUUUGUGACUUGUUGCAGUUCACCCACGUAGCGUGUCGUGCCACAGAGUCAUGGAGUAUGUUCUCAAUCUGAAUCAAAAUCAGUGGAAGUAAUUAUAAUCAUGUGAGCUUAAAUGCUUGGUAACCGUGAUUUCAAUGGAUUGUACAGGCCUUGAAAUACAAAAAUACGCUCGAAAAAAUAGCAUUAAUCAUCAUUUAUUUCUAGCUCUACGGUAUUAUCAACUAUUGGAUAGAGCUAUUGGAUGAUACUUUAUAGUCUAAUAAAGGUAGCGCUCACCUUUCCCCUGAGUUAGAGUGUUGGUCCAUUGUGUCCAGUGCACCGUGCUAGCUAGUAGGACCACUCCAAUGGAUGUGCCCUCAGAGUAUUAGAACUGUAAUGAAUGCACCACAUGGCCAGUGGGUAAAGAUCGUCAAACCAUUAGGUUUAAUUUUGUAGAUUUGAUAAACCUUUACCAGACACGCUCACACACAAGAUGGAGACGGCUGGUGAGGAAAAGCGUUCACUUGUCCUUCCCUCUAGGAGCUUCCAUAAGGCUGGAUAUCGGGUGGAUACUCCUCCAAACGACCAGCAGCAAUGGAUCACAAGGCAAAGAGCAUCGCAGCGAGUACAAUGAUGGAGAGCACGAGAGGGGCGGAGUCAGUGACAAGUUACUAUGACAACAUAUGAUGGAGGAGUUACAAGGUGACACUGUGGAGUUUGUGUACGACCCAUUAGACGUCUUGCACUGCAGAUAAAGGAACACAAUUAAGAAAUAGUGAGUACUGCCGCGUGCAGAGUGUGACUCUUUCCCCCACCAGAACUGUGAUCUGAGCAUGUCAUGUGAUAGGCCUUGUCUAGAGCUACAGAAUGCAUCUCUUAGUUUUUAUAUUGAUUGCUUUUUAGUGAAGUUCUGAUCUCCUGAAAGUUGCUUAAAUUGUACAUUUUAUGGGGAAAGCGUUGUGUUAUAUCAGGCCUAAGUUUGAGAGCCCCAUAUUUAGU